AUGGAUACGCAUGGUACAACAUGCAGUGCUAGACCUGAUGGUAGAAGACUUGUGUGGGAUCUGAUAUGGAAAAAUAAUGCUCUUGCAAAGGUCCGUAUAUUUGCUUGGAAAGCUGCGAGGGACUAUCUUGAUACACAGGCCACUAAGAAGUAUCGUCACAAGGAAGAGGACAACACAUGUACGUUGUGUGGUAUGGAGGAGGAGAAUACACACCAUGCCCUUAUUCGAUCCCCCCAUGCUGUAGGCCUUUGGCAAGCUAUGCAUGAAACUUGGGAACUCCCUACACAGGAAAUGCUACGGGACGCCGAGCCGGAUUGGAUAUUUCGUCUGCUUGGAAACCUUACGGAGACACAGAAGCUCGCCUCAUUGAUGAUUAUCUGGAGGAUUUGGUACGCGCGGAAUGAGAUUACACACCAUAAACCUCCAGUUCCUUUUGAAGCAUCACGCUGGUUCUUAACCAGCUAUAUUAUUUCUCUCAUCGCAAUCAAGCAAUAUCCAGAAGUAGAAUUGGUGAAAGGCAAAUAG
This 525-nucleotide ribosomal RNA is filed under the name Triticum aestivum (bread wheat). Its description in RNAcentral is "partial small subunit ribosomal RNA". Lineage: Eukaryota; Viridiplantae; Streptophyta; Magnoliopsida; Poales; Poaceae. The record is from RNAcentral.